GUGCNAGCGUUAAUCGGAAUAACUGGGCGUAAAGGGCACGCAGGCGGNUGAUUAAGUGAGAUGUGAAAGCCCCGGGCUUAACCUGGGNAUUGCAUUUCAUACUGGUCUACUAGAGUACUUUAGGGAGGGGUAGAAUUCCACGUGUAGCGGUGAAAUGCGUAGAGAUGUGGAGGAAUACCGAAGGCGAAGGCAGCCCCUUGGGAAUGUACUGACGCUCAUGUGCGAAAGCGUGGGGAGCAAACAGGAUUAGAUACCCUGGUAGUCCACGCUGUAAACGCUGUCGAUUUGGGGAUUGGACUGUGAGUCUGGUGCCCGAAGCUAACGUGAUAAAUCGACCGCCUGGGG
RNAcentral lists this ribosomal RNA (345 nucleotides) under Actinobacillus hominis. Its description in RNAcentral is "bacterial SSU rRNA". It matches the Rfam family "Bacterial small subunit ribosomal RNA", at positions 532 to 878 of the family's 1533-position model. Lineage: Bacteria; Pseudomonadati; Pseudomonadota; Gammaproteobacteria; Pasteurellales; Pasteurellaceae. The record is from RNAcentral.